GCCGAAGUGGUGGAAUUGGUAGACACGCCAUCUUGAGGGGGUGGUGCUCUUCUGAGCGUACGAGUUCGAGUCUCGUCUUCGGCACCA
Molecule: transfer RNA, 87 nt
Filed under: Aliidiomarina haloalkalitolerans
Lineage: Bacteria; Pseudomonadati; Pseudomonadota; Gammaproteobacteria; Alteromonadales; Idiomarinaceae
Also listed under: 2 other names
Description: tRNA-Leu
Rfam family: tRNA
About the family: Transfer RNA (tRNA) molecules are approximately 80 nucleotides in length. Their secondary structure includes four short double-helical elements and three loops (D, anti-codon, and T loops). Further hydrogen bonds mediate the characteristic L-shaped molecular structure. tRNAs have two regions of fundamental functional importance: the anti-codon, which is responsible for specific mRNA codon recognition, and the 3' end, to which the tRNAs corresponding amino acid is attached (by aminoacyl-tRNA synthetases). tRNAs cope with the degeneracy of the genetic code in two manners: having more than one tRNA (with a specific anti-codon) for a particular amino acid; and 'wobble' base-pairing, i.e. permitting non-standard base-pairing at the 3rd anti-codon position.
Source: RNAcentral